Gambusia affinis (western mosquitofish) is the source of this 1155-nucleotide long non-coding RNA. RefSeq lists it as uncharacterized. The record is from RefSeq and is a predicted model, not a curated record. Lineage: Eukaryota; Metazoa; Chordata; Actinopteri; Cyprinodontiformes; Poeciliidae. The transcript is spliced from 3 exons.
AACACAGCGUGAAGCAUGAUGUCAAAACUUUUACUUUUUUUUUUUUUUUUACAUAUUCAAGGGAGUGGGUGGAAGCAUUAACUUGGAAAAAUAAAAUCCCACUUCUUAACCACCUGCAUAAUCUUACUUGGCUUUUGUUUUAACCAUAUUAUAAAUGUGAAAUUUGUCAAAAUUGGUUUAUUAACUCUUUAAAUGAAUCUUUUUUUAAAAAGUAUUUUCUCCUGACAUUUAUUGUUGCUAUGUAAGUUCCGUUGGCAGUUGGUGGUUACCGUAGCAACCAGUAACUGACAGUUCUCCCCAUUUUUCCUUUCGCCUUGUCUGUAACUGCGGAAUGCAUUACAAUCUGCUCUGUGUUUUAUUUACAGGUACAACAGGUCAUGAAAACACGGAUCCUCACCGUUCAACCACACCGCACAGGGAUCGUGAACUUUAAACUCUUCACUCUCCAGAUCCUCCAUGGUCACAUGGGAGCGGAGUAACAACAGAUGCCACUUUGAAGCGCCAUCGAAGGGAGAAAAAAAAACCCAGUGAAAGGAGGUCUGCAUUCAAAUUGAGAGAGUUCAGCGUCUUGGAGAAGAUUUCAGAGCUGACAAGAUCGAUGCCCCUCUCACGUUUGUCCUUCAGAAGUGAGGACUCAGAAACUAAAUUAGCAAAACAAAAUGGCAGCCAGGGGACACAUCCAGCUCUAUAGCAUACUAAUUAACACCUUAUAUCUUGUUUGUUUAAUGGCGGUGCUAAAACCAGAGUCUUAAAGGAAAAAGUCCCAGUUUAUUGGGUCUUAUAAUCUCUGGCAGACUAUUUGACCGAGAGCAGUAACGCCUUAAAGUUUCCCCUGGUUGCCUGGCAACUGCUAUGAGGCAAAAAAAAAAAGUCAAAGAGAUUUUUAACCUCUCAAAAAGACUCAACUGUUUUAUUUAUGAUGUGGUUCUUGUACAUAUUAAACAAACAUCCUUCAGAAGGAAGCGCCCGUAGGUGAAUUUUUUUUUUUUUUCACUUCACAGAGCCUGAUUAGUUCUUCCUUCCUUUUCUGCUCUUUGUGUUAAGUCAAAGGCUUCUGGCUGCAGACAUGAGAGUUAAAUUGGUCUUUUUCAUGAAACUUUCAAAGCUAUGGUUGCAAAUUGUGCUUUCCACUUUGAUGCUCCUGCUUUCCUCCGC